Ruditapes philippinarum (Manila clam) is the source of this 1703-nucleotide long non-coding RNA. RefSeq lists it as uncharacterized. The transcript has 2 exons. The record is from RefSeq and is a predicted model, not a curated record. NCBI's taxonomy places the organism in Eukaryota, Metazoa, Mollusca, Bivalvia, Venerida, Veneridae.
GAUAUUCAUAUUUUAUAUUCAAAUCUUUGAUUUAUGUGACAUUAUCUUUAUUCAACACAAUGCAUAUUCAGAUAAUAAACGAUUAAGUUUACAAGACACUUAAAUUGAAAGCUUCAAGUGAAAAUGGCUUUUAUGACAACCAAUGCGUAAUUAAUAAAUGUUUAAAUCAGCAAAAUAAUUUUAAGAGAGUUUGACGUCAGUAUUAUUACACGAUUAUCAAAUAAAAUGGAAAAGUUGCAUAAGUGAUCUACAAAACCUUUGACAAUGCUGGUUAAUAUUUUUCUUUGGUGUCUUGUUAUUCAGAGUGUAUAUGGACGCAACCGAGAAACUGAUGACUGUUUCGGGGGUUGUCCUAAAAUUUGGGAUCCUGUAUGUGGAUCCGACGGAAAGGCUUACGGCAAGUGUUUUGUCAUUCACGUUUUAACCUAAUGUAUAUGUAAAAUACUACUAAUUAAUUUCUAAGAACGUGCUUAUACUAUUGUUUAAACCUUUACAAUGAAAUGUUCCAUAAAACUAUUUACAAUGUAGUAAAAUUAUAACUGUUUGAGACUUUGCAAAAUUCUUUGUAUCAGUUUUGUGAAAUUAUGAACCUUACGUAAAAAUAUAUUGAAAAUACUAUAUUUAUCCACAGUGGAUCAAGAUUAGUGCAAUAUUUGUGCAAUGAUAUUGAUGACGUCACAAACGCAGUGAAACCCAUUAAAAAGCGUCCUCUUGUUUGCGUUUAUUUAGUAUUAUUUUUACAUAUAUGAGGUUCUCAACAAACUUUUAUAUACUUGUACAAUACAUUUGUUUCAGUACUUACAUCAAUAUAUGCUUAUUUCUUUUCAUUUAUUAUCAGUUCACUUAUUAUAUGCCCCUCCCCUCCUUUCGUGUGCCUUUCCCCGUUUUUUGGUUCGGUGCCUUCUGCGUGACCUGUGACUGGGUUGUGUCGGGAGGCGCGUUCUGUAAACGUCGCCUUGCCUUGGUGAUCUUUGUUCUCAAUCUUUUACAUAUGUUUAAUUUAUUCAACUCUAGGCAAUAUGUUUUCAGAUCAUUUACAUGACGUCCUCUAAAACAACCAUUUAUCUCUGAUUAUCCAUUUACAAUAAAGGUUUCAAUCCAUGUUUCAUAUUUGUACUUCAUGAAACCUUUGUGCUAACACAUUUGGUUUUAGUUGACAUUUUAUAUCAAAUUAACAAUUGAUUUCAGGAAUAAGUUAAUGCUAAAAUGUAUGUAAAACAGAUUGUUUAAUUAUCUAAGAGAAAAUGAAACAAUUCCGAUCUACAUAUCAUUAUAUUACUUGCACAUCUGCAUGCUUUGUAUCCUUCAAAAAGAAUUAAUUUAAUUAAUUAAUUAAACCAUUAAAUGUGAAAUUACAAUAGACAUAACUGAUACAUUUUUUAAAAAAAAAAAUCAACCUAUUUUAUCACAAGGUAUAUAAUUUAAACCAAAUGAAAAACAAAUAUUCAUUGCACAAAUGAUUUUACGAAACUUUGUGAUUGAAGGAAUAAUUGCUUAUUCUCAGUAUCACCAAACAUCUGUUACUGUAAUACUUCAUUAAUAAUCCAACUAUGUUCAAAAACAUCAUAUAUGCAUAUUUUUCAGGAAAUGCUUGUGAAUUCAACUUUGGAAUGUGCAAAAACGAAGAACUGGAAUUAGCUUAUACUGGGCGUUGUCGCAUCUAGAAACAUAAUUUUACUACAAAUAAAGAUGAAGUCUGCAAA